AUGAAAUGCCUUAGUCUUUUGUUUUUUUGGUGUAAGCAAAAUUUAGUGGGGGAAGUAGAUAGCCUUGUGGAGUUUAAAAGCCAAUUGUAAAGUUAGUUUUGUCUUUUUGGAUUUGAGUAUGAUGGCACCCCCUGGGGGUUUGUAAAUCCCACCUCAUCGAUUUUGAUGAGGUCUUUUGUGUGAAUACAAAGUUACCUAUUUCAAAAAAAAAAAAAGACUCCUUAAGCUUGCAGCCAUGGUGGGGUUUAACUUAUGUUUGAGAAAAGGCGAAUCUGAGCCUCCCAAAUCUGUUUGUGUGAAAGAAUGAGGCUCUUUAUGCUACCCAACUUAUGCUGCAUGACUUAAUUCCUAUGGAACUUAUGCUGAGCGAGACAAAAGGUUCUCCAAACUUAUGCAGAAACAAGAGCUCCUGAUUUCGGGGAAAUCCUUGCAAAAACUUGUUACUUUAAUGCAUUGAGAAAAUCUGACCUGUAUCUUGACAGGGCAACCCGGUAUGACGUCAUCUGUAAACUGGCGUUUGCAGCCAUGGCAUUGUCCCUUUCUCUUUGCAUGUUCAUAUACAACAAAAUAUGAGCACUAAAGUCGAUGGUAAAUUUCUCAGAUGGUCACUCAACUCAAUGCGGGUUCUCAGGAACCUGAAUACCCUAUAGGGUUCAGUCCGAGCAACAUAGAAUACGUUCAAUGAGGCAAUGAAGAUGUUCAUUCUUUAAGAACCAGAUAGUUGAACUUUGUUGUAACUUGGUGUGGCAGCUCUAAGGGUCUGUGAGGUGAGAGAACUAUAUUGGUUUUCAUCUCACUAGGCUAUUAUGCUUGCAGCCAUGGCAUAGUUUAGCUUUUUCUGAGAAAAAAUCAAAUCUGAGCCUCCCAAGUAUCUGUUGUGUUUAGAGAAUGAGGCUUUUUAUUGAACUCAGGAAUGGUAAGAGAUUUUCUAAGGGUGGUUAACUCUUUCUCCUAAGUUCAAUUUUGCCAAUGAAUUUUCCUAUGCUUUUGUUAAAAAUAUAAAGUUUAACAGCCCUUUCAAUUAGCAGAAUGCUCUUCAUGAUAUUGAUGAUAUGAUUGCCAUGAUUAUGGUAAUAAUGAAGGAAAAUAUAUGUUUUGCCCCUUUAACUUGUGGAAAACCCCGAACUAAACUUUUUGAAUAAGGCUGUGAUGAUAUUCUCCAAGAAGCUCGAAAAUCAGAUUUUUGAACUGAUUCAUAUCUUGUCUAGACAAAGGCAGGGGAAUUUGUGAGGAUGCUUUUUGCAGCCAUGGUGGAUUGGCCUUUUUUCUGAUUGAUUUUCACUCAAAUCUGAGCCUCUUUUCUGUUUAAAGUAUAGUUCUACAAUAUUUAGUCUUUCUCUUUCAUUCUUGGUACUAUCAGAUCAUAUAAGGAAGAGUCCCCUUUGAGAAAGAAACUUUUUAUGCAUCCAUCUAUACAAUUUCCCCAAAUUGUUAGGUACAUACUGAUAUGAGACAAGGCCAAAGGGAAUGGAAGUGAAUAUUGAGGAUCCGUAUAUUGUUGCUGUAUUUUACUUUUUUGAUCAAGAUUUGUUGCUGCAUUUUUCCACAUAUUCAAACUUUGAUGUCUUGUUUUAAUCUUGAACGCUCCAAGUUUCAGAGGCAGUGAAGAUUAUUCAUAAUGAAAAUGAAAAGUGAAGAAAAUUAGAGUUGAUUCGUGGCCUGGCUUGCGAGUUCAAUCGGAAGGUCUUAUAAGGCAACUGUUGCUUGCAGCCAGGGCACUGUUCAAACUCUGCUCUUCCUUUUCUUUGAUUAAAUAGGCGAAAAUCUGAGCCUCAUUCUUAACUUUGUCCAUUUGCUUUUUUUGUUUUACUAGUCUUUCUAGAAAGAGAUUUAGAUUACCAUCACUGUGGAACCACUUAAAUCAACAGCUCUGUCUCCCAACUCCAAAAGCCAAAAGGAAAAAAAAAUGAUUCUGCAUUGAGUACAUGCAUUUGUCAUCUUGAUUUGGUUGACGAAAAUUGGAUCCUCCGCCCACAUGAAACGCAUCCACUGAAUCAGUGGUGUAGCCGGAAAUUUCAUGAAGGGUGUUCAUAAAUGUGGACAUGGACUGUAGUAAUAACCGAUACGAUAAGCUAAACACAUGCUCACAUGUCCACUACCUAAACUUGGAACUGUUGGGAGAUUAUUGAUCAAAAGCACCAUAUUGGCCAAGUUAAUGGUGUAUUCUCAUUCCUGAUUAGAGGUACCAGAUGGGCAAAUUAAUUGUUGAAAAAGAACCCUACCAAAUCCUAAUUGAAGAAUAGGUCAAAGCAAUAGAGAUAGAGAGAAGAGGAAGCUCCAACUAUGACCAAAAAGAAUAGGGGAAAGCUGAUGGAUGUUGAUAAUCAUCAGGUUAGUUAUCUUCUGCAUGGGCCUAAUCAUUGUUUAAGAACAGAACAAGUUCACUUCCCCGAAGAAAUAAUUGUGGACAUCCUCAAAAGGUUACCCGUGCGGUCUCUUCUUCGAUUUAAAUGUGUUUCAAAAUUUUGGAAAGACGUUAAUCUCUGAGCCUUACUUUAAGAUGAAGCAUCAAAGUCAUGCCAUGAAUGACUUAAAUUCGAAAAAGUUUCUUGUUAGUCUAUGGCGUGUCGGUGAGGAAAACAAGUUUAAUUUAUACUCUUCUUCUUUAUCUUUGGUUCAACCAGCUGUUGAGGAUAUAGAAAAACUUGAUUCUCCUUCAAAUUGCAAACCAUCAACUUGUAUGUUGCAUUGUUCUUGCGAUGGGUUGGUUCUUCUCUCAAUUGCUGACCGCCUUUUGGAGUGAGUCUACUUUUAAGUUGUGGAUAAUGAAGGACUACAGUGUCAAGGAAUCUUGGAUACUAUCGUAUACAAUACAAGAUAAUGAUUUGUUUUUUUCUCAAACCGAUACAAGAUAAGGAUUUGUUGGAUUUGUUUUUUCUCAGACCGAUACAUAUGUUUGCUGAUGGUGAAGUGCUACUCAACUAUCGAUGUAUGGACCACGUAGGGUCUAACUUACCAUUUAGGACAUCCAAAGGACCAUUUGGAUUAUGGCCCGGAAAUAAUAUCCUAAA
Long non-coding RNA from Solanum tuberosum (potato), 3011 nucleotides. RefSeq lists it as uncharacterized. The record is from RefSeq and is a predicted model, not a curated record. NCBI's taxonomy places the organism in Eukaryota, Viridiplantae, Streptophyta, Magnoliopsida, Solanales, Solanaceae. The transcript has 4 exons.